GGCUGGUCGUUGUUUUUUUUUUGUGGGGCACUGGUGCAGUAGGGAAGCCUCGGAGACUCCAGGAGGAAGUGUGCACAUUUUAAAGGAAAAGAUUUUUAACCUGGCCUGGUUUUGCUUUUAAAAUAAUCUGAGGAUGUUGGAGGGAGGACUCAUUUUUAUUGGGAUGUGAGUGGAUGUGCUGGGAGGCAGGAAAACAAACACUGGACUGGAGACUCUCUGUGCCCCUGACAAGGAAACUGGACCAGUUUUGGGGAAGUUCUGGCUCCCAGGAUGUGAUGUGGAGAUCCAGCCUCGAACGAAGUCAGGCCUGAAAAGGGUAAUAAUCCUGACCGCGGUGGCUUUGGGCCUUGGCUUCCUGGCCAGAGUCGUGUCUUCAGCCAGUAGUUUUACCCGGAGAAAGAACAAAUAAAUCUUGUGUAACCCAGUGCAGUGUGCGUGUGGUGGUGUGUUACUGGUCAAUAUUAGAGCUACCACUUUCUUGUACGGAGGCCGUUUUGGGCCCUACGUAACACUUAUUAAAUCUUUUCUCCACACGUUAAAUAGACUAAAGUUACCAUUGAUGGAUACAGCCUGAUUAAAUGGAGCACUAAUGAAUGUAUGCAAGAAACAUCGUAAUGCUGAAUGUUAAAUUGUGUUAAAAUUCAUGUUUUUGCUUGCAAUGCAUAUUUUACUACAUUUUACCAAAGUUGCUUUGGGGAUAUUAUUUUUUGUUGGCAAACUAUUCUACAGACUAUUUUUCUUUCAGUCAGCAUGUCUUGAUUGUUCUGAAAGUUCUGUGGUCUCCUACAUGCAUUGCUGUUAAAGAAUGAUUCUAAAUGUACCUGUUAUUUACUCAGCUAGUGAGCUCGGUGAUCUCUUAGCUUUGAGCCAUUCUAAAUGUGGGCGCUAUUUUUAACUUCCUGUGAAGUUAGCUAAUAAGUUUAGUAUGAGACGGUUGAAGGGGAGAAAGCUGGGCUGAACUAAGAUCCUGCCAACUGUUUUAAGAAUGUUCAAGCAAAAUAAAAGAGAUG
Oreochromis aureus is the source of this 1010-nucleotide long non-coding RNA. The record is from Ensembl. NCBI's taxonomy places the organism in Eukaryota, Metazoa, Chordata, Actinopteri, Cichliformes, Cichlidae.